AACAUUGUUGGCGAAGACAGCAGCAGCGACGCCGGGUGGGGUGGCGAGGCCGGAGUUGUACUUGGUCAUCGUCAGCAGGAAGGUGCGCUUGCGAGGAGCUUUGGUAGUCGUGCUGCGGCGGUAGUACCGCAUAGAAGAGGAAGGAGAGCAAAUGUGUGGCAUAGCGCGAGGCUUGGCACCAGUGGAAGAGCACGACGCUAAGAUUGCCAUGGCCACGGUUUAGAGGAGCCCCAGGAUAGUGUUUGGAGAUUUACUAGUUUGCAAUACAACGGGAGUUGCUAGACAAUUUGGUUAUAUCCAAAGCGAAGCUGUAAUGGCGUGUAAAUAAACCAGAGGUACCCAGGGCGUUAAUUGUCUGUUAUCGCCCGUGUCCUUCAGGCCUGCAGGCCGUCAAAGUUCGCUACGGAUGUGCGUCGGCCCAGUCCAACCCAUCAGGCCAUGCCUAGGCCAUAGUCAGGAACUGUCAAGAUGCCGACUGCCAUGAUGCCAGUUGCAGAUCGCCCGUAUCCGGGAUUGUCCCAACUACGCACGUGGAUUGCCGACGUGCACCGACUCAAAACUGCCGGAAUGGAAGCCGCUAGAUAUUGCAGCAAACAUGAAUGUAAGAUAAAUUCAUAAAAUUUCACUCAAUUUUAAUAGUUGUCAAGAGAAUUUUGCGACGCUUCAAAAGUUUUGAAGGUCGUCAACAGCUUUCAACUGUCGCUCCCACAUGUGUAUGGUUGUAUUCCGGGCUAAUUUUUAUUACUCACAAUUUGCUGGCAAUGCGGUUUCACAUAUCAGGUGUAAGAUACCGCCCUGCUGUCCACGAUUGUGCUUUCGUGCUACGUCUACCAAACGCUUCAUAGCUCUGACAGCACAACACCAGGUCUACGUGAUACUAGACUUAAUAAAUACUAUUGACCUUGAUCAUCAUUCUGAGAUGAUUUGCCUUCAUUGCCUGCGGUACUCCGUACCAUAGCUCUGUGUGAAAAUCCAGGCCACGGAAGUCACUGUAAGACGCAUAUUUAUGCGAGGAGUUUCUGUUUUAACUGAUGCCAACACCAAGCUUUUUCUUCCAUUUCGAAGCUUCGGUCCACCUCGUCUACAGCAGCUGCUGACAAGCAAAAGCCGCUGAGUUUUACCAUGCUACCUUUUUCCUUAGAAACAUGACUUUCCAGGUCCGCUCUGGGAACGCUUAGACUGUCAGGUCUAAGCAAUGGUGGGCGUCGCCAUCACUCACCCUUUGUUGCUGCAUUCUUCGCCUUCUGCAGUUGACUCAGGCAUUUUUGCGUUUGGUUUACCUGUAGAAUCCGUUACCUGGUAGGCAUACACUUGCCAAGGUGUCCAGUAAGCGGGGUGCACGCACCUCCCAAGCAAGUCGAAGAACGCAGGCGCGCACGAACCGCUACCGUAUCAGCCACCGGAUGAAGCACUCAGCUUUAUUAAAAAAAGUCUUGACUGAACGCUAUAAUUGGUGCUGGGUCCUACAUUUAUAUCACCGUGCACAGGGUUGUUAUUCGGAGCCACCGAUUCUCAUAGACCGUGACAUGCAUGCGAAGCUUAAUUAGGAGGGAUGGCAAGUACGGUUGGAUUGAGUUGGUAGGGUGGUCGCCAGGAUUGGGAUAGAUCAACCGGGGAUUGAGAUAGACUGACGGGGGGAUUGAGAUUGACUGUGGAGGGAUUGAGAUUGAGACCGAGGUGGAUUGAGAUCGGGUUACCGUUGGAUUGAGAGUGUAGUACCGUUGGAUUGAGAUAGACGCUACCGUUGGAUUGAGAUUGCCUUGGGCCUGGAUUGGGAUUGAUACCCCGGAG
This 1791-nucleotide long non-coding RNA is filed under the name Volvox carteri. RNAcentral describes it as "long non-coding RNA (VCAR_LNC003480)". The record is from RNAcentral. Lineage: Eukaryota; Viridiplantae; Chlorophyta; Chlorophyceae; Chlamydomonadales; Volvocaceae.